Bos taurus (domestic cattle) is the source of this 723-nucleotide long non-coding RNA. The record is from Ensembl. Lineage: Eukaryota; Metazoa; Chordata; Mammalia; Artiodactyla; Bovidae.
ACGCGUCCUCUAUCUUCUAGACAGGCAGCCCUUCCCGGGUCCCGUGACACAGCGGAGGCAAUGGCAGUGCGAGAGUAACAAUGUAAGGAAGUGAGGGAUCACCUUACCAGUGGAAACCACAGGAAUCCCAGGCAGGCAGAAAGUAAUCAGGAAAAUUGCUUUUUGGCAAAGUGACGUGGGUCAGCUCUCUCGGCCUCAAAAAGAGCGUUCUGUGAUCUGCAGUUAUGGGAUGGCUGGUUCGCAAUGAGUGUAAAGUACAAUUUUGCUUUACUGUAGUCAUCUGCUUGUGCCUGGUACUUCAUGGGAGUGAAGAAGAACUGGGAGAUUUAGUUUCUUCACCUAAGAUCCUAAAAUUGGCUGUGAUCUGAAGUUCCUUGAUUCUUUGAUUGAAAGCAGCAGAGACCAACACCAGUCUUGAGCCACCAUGUCAAGCAGUCCAACUACCUUGCUGGAGAGACCAUGUGGCCAGAUCCUAGCAACUCCAACCGUCUCAACCAAAGUGCCAGAUCUGAUGGAGCCAUCUUGGAAUGCUGCCUUAAGACCAACGUGCUGUGAGGAAGCCCAAGUUAUCAUAUGGAGAGGCCACAUGGGAGAGAAUAAAGGCAUCACAGCUGACAGCCCCAGCCUAGCUGCCAACUGAAUACACCCAAGACAAGGAUAGAAGAACUGUUUAUUCAACCUACAAAAAUCAUAAAAAAUAAUAAAUCACUGCUAUUUUAAACC